Molecule: non-coding RNA, 99 nt
Organism: Dendrothele bispora CBS 962.96
Lineage: Eukaryota; Fungi; Basidiomycota; Agaricomycetes; Agaricales
Source: the annotation of a GenBank genome assembly
GUCCGCGUAGCUCAGUGGUAGAGCAUUGUACUUAUGAGGUUGCCUUCUUCCCCGGCGCAUGUAAUGCAAGGGUCUCCAGUUCAAUCCUGGGCGUGGACA